GAUGAACGCUGGCGGCGUGCUUAACACAUGCAAGUCGAACGGAAAGGCCCUGCUUGCAGGGUACUCGAGUGGCGAACGGGUGAGUAACACGUGGGUGAUCUACCCUGUACUUUGGGAUAAGCCUGGGAAACUGGGUCUAAUACCGAAUAUGACAAUUGUUUGGAUGCGAUUGUGGAAAGCUUUUGCGGUAUGGGAUGAGCUCGCGGCCUAUCAGCUUGUUGGUGGGGUAAUGGCCUACCAAGGCGUCGACGGGUAGCCGGCCUGAGAGGGUGUACGGCCACAUUGGGACUGAGAUACGGCCCAGACUCCUACGGGAGGCAGCAGUGGGGAAUAUUGCACAAUGGGCGCAAGCCUGAUGCAGCGACGCCGCGUGGGGGAUGACGGCCUUCGGGUUGUAAACUCCUUUCGCAACCGACGAAGCCUUUUGGUGACGGUAGGUUGAGAAGAAGCACCGGCUAACUACGUG
RNAcentral lists this ribosomal RNA (466 nucleotides) under uncultured bacterium. RNAcentral's name for it is "partial 16S ribosomal RNA". It matches the Rfam family "Bacterial small subunit ribosomal RNA", at positions 28 to 507 of the family's 1533-position model. The record is from RNAcentral.